This is a long non-coding RNA of Papaver somniferum (opium poppy), 1610 nucleotides long. RefSeq lists it as uncharacterized. The transcript is spliced from 3 exons. The record is from RefSeq and is a predicted model, not a curated record. NCBI's taxonomy places the organism in Eukaryota, Viridiplantae, Streptophyta, Magnoliopsida, Ranunculales, Papaveraceae.
CUUAUGUCAAAAGGCAGCCGUUUACAAGUGUAAUAUGGCCGUUAAGCCUGCAGUAGUAACUUGUGUUGUCGACAGUAUGACAGUGACAGAUAACUUCAGAUCAACAUGUGCCAACUCCAAGCAACUGAUGCGGCUAACGCUGUAUUCAAUGGUAUGAUUUUCAGACCCAAGAUACCAGCACAGCAUCUUGCAAUGCAGUGAGGUUUUCAUAUAAUCUCCAGUUUUCGCAAAAUUUGUGCAGAGGUAAGCUUUAUUGCAACUUGUUUAGUUUGUUGGCAACUGCCUUAUGCGGACCGUUUAAACUCAUUAUGAACCUAAGUUUGAGAAAUAUACGUUUGGGUAAAAUGGAUGGUUUGGUUCAGGUUCUGUCUGAUUUUCUCUCUAAACAUAGUUCUGAUAAUACGCCGUUUUCUUAAUAUGCUUUACGCAGAGAAGGUUUUUAACCAGGAAUUUCACAAAAACUUCGAAAUUUGUCAGAGAACCAAUGUCACACUUGGAAAUCAAUUGCUUCCUCUAUUGUCCUUUCUUAUGGUUGUUGGUUACUUGUUCAUGCACUUUUUAGUUUGAGACAAACACAUUAGAGGUCAUCAGUAAGCUUAUAAUUGUGCAAUUAAGGCGAAGGCCUAUGUUAUUUUUGCUUUCACUUCAGAUGGAAAGGUAGUUGCUGAUUUUUCCGUACAAUCUGUGAAGAAAUGAAUUUAGUUUCCAGGGAAUUUUUGUUGAUUCUACCAUACUAUUGCAGAUUGAUCGUGAAGUAUAGGCCGACAAUGCCAGUUAUGCCAUUCGUAGUUCCGUAUGUUCCCCAUGCUAACGUGAUAUACAAAUCAAACACAAUGUCACAGACUUGGGCAAUAAUUUGACAUAAAAACUUUUGUAUCUCAAAUGACCUUUAACUCAAAAUAUGAAACUCAACUCAAAAUCAGUCAUUAUAUUUUAUCAUCAAUUUCAGUUUUCCCGAUUCCUUCUUUCCCUUCCCGCCUAUUCAUAAUCAAUGGAGGUCUCUGACUGAAACAAAAAUCAAAAUUAACCCUCAAUUACAAAUUAUUGAGAGCAAGCAGUGAUACCGGUGAUGGUGUUACUUUUCAUUCCCCUAAUUAGUUUCUCAUAUCAGCAACGAAGAGAAGAAUUAGAAUCUAGACAAACAUAAGAGGAGGUCACAAGAGAUGGGAGCUGAAGUUGCUGCAUACCAUAUACCUGGACUCUAGGAAUUAACCAGGAUGUGUCCAAUGAUGAUCUACGUAAUCACCUCGUAUUGGACCCUCACUUAAGGAAUAGAUCGAGGCUUUUUUCUAGCAAUUAGAUCUUAGAAAUCUCUGACACCAAACUGGAGAUGACCUGUGCAUGUGAGUUCCUGAUGGUAUUGAAAUGGUUCAAACAAUGGAUUAGCACCGUUGCGAACAUAAACGUCAUUAAUGGAAGAAGGAAUUGAACCAGUUACAGGUAGAUUUUGACAGACAGGUUGUUCGGGUAGGGGUGCGAAAUUGCUGGAUAGUUGAACUGAGGGGUCAGCUGUUUUAGGAAGUGGCUGCUGUUUUUCUUUAGAUAGUAAAGCUGUUUCACAGGCAUCUAAAGCCAUUGAUGCAACCUUUUGAAUUAUUCGAAUUUUUGUU